AUAUGUGAACAAGCUCCCUAGAGAGGGAUUUCAGUGUUGUUGCAGGAACUCGUCAGAAGAGUGCAGUGCAUGGUAACAGAGAGCAGUGCUGAUGUCACACAACAAGUCUUAUGAGCAGAUCAAUACCCUUCACUGGACAGGCUUACACAUCUGAAGCAAAGUUAUGGGUCCAAAAUCUUGCCCAGCUUCACCAUCUGGACCAACAAGGGCUCCUACUUCUUCUCACUCAUCUCCCUUUGCUGGUCAGAGGUGCAGUGAGCACGUUCCCAUGCAAGGCUGGACUGGGCCUCCUCAGUGAUGUGUGGUGUGCAGGCUGCCUACCAUGCCUGAUGUGGUGACAACACAUAAAGCCGCCUCCAUCUCUGGAACUCUGUGGAAUUUUUACAGCAGAGUACAUCUAAUGGAUGCUAGAAAAAACAAACUCCACUUGUUUUGUCACAAGAAGUAAAUAGGGUGAGCACAUCAACUGUAUUUAGCUACUCUGAAAUCCAUGCUGCAUGUAGUAUGUGUGCAUGCACAGAAGAGGAAGAAGAGUGAGGAGUCACAGCACUGCAGAACCUUCCCAGACAUAGCAAAUUCCUGCUGCUUUAGAAGUGAACUGAUGGCUACAGAAGGUCAAUGGAUCUAGAAACAAGGCAUGAAGAUGUAAACUAAGUACAAAGCAAUGCGGACGGUCACUGAAUACCAGAAAAACGAAUCUGCAUGCAACCUGC
This is a long non-coding RNA of Vidua macroura (Pin-tailed whydah), 713 nucleotides long. RefSeq lists it as uncharacterized. NCBI's taxonomy places the organism in Eukaryota, Metazoa, Chordata, Aves, Passeriformes, Viduidae. The transcript has 3 exons. The record is from RefSeq and is a predicted model, not a curated record.